AGUGAACGCUGGCGGUAGGCCUAACACAUGCAAGUCGAACGGCAGCACAGGAGAGCUUGCUCUCUGGGUGGCGAGUGGCGGACGGGUGAGGAAUACAUCGGAAUCUACUCUGUCGUGGGGGAUAACGUAGGGAAACUUACGCUAAUACCGCAUACGACCUACGGGUGAAAGCAGGGGAACUUCGGACCUUGCGCGAUUGAAUGAGCCGAUGUCGGAUUAGCUAGUUGGCGGGGUAAAGGCCCACCAAGGCGACGAUCCGUAGCUGGUCUGAGAGGAUGAUCAGCCACACUGGAACUGAGACACGGUCCAGACUCCUACGGGAGGCAGCAGUGGGGAAUAUUGGACAAUGGGCGCAAGCCUGAUCCAGCCAUACCGCGUGGGUGAAGAAGGCCCUCGGGUUGUAAAGCCCUUUUGUUGGGAAAGAAAUCCAGCUGGCUAAUACCCGGUUGGGAUGACGGUACCCAAAGAAUAAGCACCGGCUAACUUCGUGCCAGCCGCCGCCGUAA
This 506-nucleotide ribosomal RNA is filed under the name uncultured bacterium. RNAcentral describes it as "partial 16S ribosomal RNA". It matches the Rfam family "Bacterial small subunit ribosomal RNA", at positions 29 to 523 of the family's 1533-position model. The record is from RNAcentral.